This 1137-nucleotide ribosomal RNA is filed under the name Triticum aestivum (bread wheat). RNAcentral describes it as "partial small subunit ribosomal RNA". The record is from RNAcentral. Lineage: Eukaryota; Viridiplantae; Streptophyta; Magnoliopsida; Poales; Poaceae.
AUGGCCACUGUCAUGGAUGCACUAAAAUCUUUUACCAAGAUUGAGGUGUUUGAAAAUUACGGUUGUGAUGGGUGCAAAUCUCGUGUGAACAUGGAAAAGCAAUUAAAGGUGGAGCAGGCCCCAGAAGUUCUUGUAAUCCAGCUCAAGCGGUUUCAAAAUUUUGGAAGUCAUAUAACUAAGAUUGAAGACUGCAUGAUGUAUCAUGAAGAGCUGGACUUAAACCCAUUUAUGAGCUCCCCGGAUAAUAAACCUCAGAAAUAUGAUUUGUAUGGAGUUGUAGAACACGAGGGUGCUCCAUCAAAUGGUCACUAUGUUUGUUAUAUCCGUUCCUCACGAACUAAUUGGUUUCACUUCAAUGAUUCUAAGGUUAUGAAAAUCAACGAUGUCAUGGCUUUGGAGAGUGAAGCAUACCUUCUAUUCUAUGCGAAGCAAGGUUCAUCCCCAUGGUUCUCUACCUUACUUAAGAGAAAAAACUACGUUUCCGGUGACACUGAGGAGGGUGGUUACAGUAGCAGUAGCAGUGAAGAUGACUAUUAUCCUGAAGGCCUGUCUUGGCAUAAUGAUGGCGACAAAACCAGAUCGGCGACGAAAGAAGAAACAGAUCUGCAGCUUAGACAAAUAAUAUCUAUGCAAAAAGAGAAGUGCGGCGAGAGAGAGAUUGAAGAAAAAGCGAAGGCAGAAGGAGACAGCAGCAUCCAAACUACUUGUCCUGAAAGCUUGUCUUGGCGUAAGGGAGCUGAUGUCAAGGGCUCUGAUGAUUCUCCAGCUGGACCAUUGCUCGGACCAGUAGGCUCCAACUCUCACAGCAUUGCUAAGGGCAAGUGCAUUGAUAAGGCUAUUGUUCAAGAGGAAGCGACGGCGACGCCAGACGAGCUUUUGCAGCAUUUGAAAGAGAAGGUGCCUAGCAUAUUUGCCAAAGCUUUCGAACACAUGCAUAUGUCUCUUGCACUUUCAGAGGCUUCAAAGAGAGAGCAUGUUGCGGAAAUGCAUAACGAUGAUGACGACAAAACCCGAUCAGCAAGGAAGCGCAAGUGGGAGUGGGACAACAACCUCGAAGAAGAAGAAGAAGAAGAAGAAGAAGAUGAUGAUGAUGAUGAUGUUGAAGAAGAACCAUACUACUAUGUCUACUCGGACUAA